UUUCAGGGUAUACCUGAGAAACCCGAAAGGUCGAAAGAGGAAAUUCAUUCGCGUUUCGGCUGUCGAAGUUAAAUGUUUGUAUGACGGAUAAUAGUUUCGGCUUUGUCUGCGUCUUAUGUUUUUCGAAUCGAUGUCGAACGCGUGCACUUUUCCUCUAGUAGGACGUCGCGAUCCGUUGGGUGUCUGUCUAAGACUCUUAUAGGUGGAGCCCACGCGAUCUUCGUGAUCGUGUGGACCCUGGAUGUUCCGACAGACUCGCUCGACGGUAUAAUAAUGGCGCGAGGCCGCUACCUCUAGUUAGCGUUCGGCCCGUAGCAAACACGUUCUGUGUUUGACAGCGAUCGGACCUAGUGCCGGUUCUGUCCCGGAACGAAUGUUGGUCACGGUGUUCUCGAACAGACCUCGUAUAUGAAACGCCGAUCAGCGACGCUAUUGAUUUGGGUACUUUCAGGACCCGUCUUGAAACACGGAC
This 472-nucleotide ribosomal RNA is filed under the name Agelasa nigriceps. Its description in RNAcentral is "eukaryotic LSU rRNA". Lineage: Eukaryota; Metazoa; Arthropoda; Insecta; Coleoptera; Chrysomelidae. The record is from RNAcentral.